This 464-nucleotide ribosomal RNA is filed under the name uncultured bacterium. Its description in RNAcentral is "partial 16S ribosomal RNA". It matches the Rfam family "Bacterial small subunit ribosomal RNA", at positions 339 to 795 of the family's 1533-position model. The record is from RNAcentral.
CUACGGGGUGCUGCAGUGGGGAAUAUUGCACAAUGGGCGCAAGCCUGAUGCAGCCAUGCCGCGUGUAUGAAGAAGGCCUUCGGGUUGUAAAGUACUUUCAGCGGGGAGGAAGGGAGUAAAGUUAAUACCUUUGCUCAUUGACGUUACCCGCAGAAGAAGCACCGGCUAACUCCGUGCCAGCAGCCGCGGUAAUACGGAGGGUGCAAGCGUUAAUCGGAAUUACUGGGCGUAAAGCGCAUGCAGGCGGUUUGUUAAGUCAGAUGUGAAAUCCCCGGGCUCAACCUGGGAACUGCAUCUGAUACUGGCAAGCUUGAGUCUCGUAGAGGGGGGUAGAAUUCCAGGUGUAGCGGUGAAAUGCGUAGAGAUCUGGAGGAAUAUCGGUGGCGAAGGCGGCCCCCUGGACGAAGACUGACGCUCAGGUGCGAAAGCGUGGGGAGCAAACAGGAUUAGAUACCCGCGUAGUC